Molecule: small RNA, 181 nt
Filed under: Streptomyces sp.
Lineage: Bacteria; Bacillati; Actinomycetota; Actinomycetes; Kitasatosporales; Streptomycetaceae
Also listed under: 1 other name
Description: c-di-AMP sequence
Rfam family: c-di-AMP riboswitch aptamer (ydaO/yuaA leader)
About the family: This family represents a conserved RNA structure found upstream of the ydaO and yuaA genes in Bacillus subtilis and related genes in other bacteria. The ydaO/yuaA element is thought to act as a genetic "off" switch for the ydaO and yuaA genes in its native state.
Source: RNAcentral
CACAACCAUCCGCGAACUCAUUCGUACGGCAGGAGCGGGGGACCCAGGUAAGUCGCCGGACCGGUCGGCACACGUCGCAUCGGAACGGCUAGGGGUGAAGCCGCGCCUUCCCGCGAAGGCACGGCCGGGCACCUCCCCGCCCGAACCCGACAGCUCACCUCGCAGGCGACGGAGAGGAACU